RNAcentral lists this ribosomal RNA (255 nucleotides) under uncultured bacterium. RNAcentral describes it as "partial 16S ribosomal RNA". The record is from RNAcentral.
CUGCUGCCUUCCGUAGGAGUUUGGGCCGUGUCUCAGUCCCAAUGUGGCCGGCCACCCUCUCAGGUCGGCUACUGAUCGCUGCCUUGGUGGGCCGUUACCCCGCCAACUAGCUAAUCAGACGCGGAUCCAUCCCAUACCACCGGAGUUUUUCACACUGCGCCAUGCGGCGCCGUGCGCUUAUGCGGUAUUAGCAGUCAUUUCUAACUGUUAUCCCCCGGUAUGGGGCAGGUUAUCCACGCGUUACUCACCCGUCCG